UUUGCAUCUUCACAACUAAUCUUUUGUAGUACCUGAUGAAUCCGCAAUGCAUAAAAGUAAAUGAAACAUGUCCGAAUACAGUUGUAAGUAAUUUUCUUUGAACAGAAAUAAAAUCCCCAACUUGCACUAUGGUUCCAAACUUAGAAGUCGCAAAGAGGAAGAUUUUGGCCCAAUCUUCCACCUCAUAUGCUAAACUGAUUCGAGUAGGAACUGAAAUACUGUAUCUUUAGCGCAAUCAACAGCCGAUACCAAAAAUCUUGAAGGAUGGACUGAUUGAAGGGAAUACUUUUAGGAGCUAAUGUGGAUAUCAGAGUUAGGCAAUGGCUCCUACACGUGACUGGCAAUUCCUGCAAUGCAGUUAUAUUCAAGUCAAGGUCCAGAUAAAAAACUUGAACACUACCAGGAUAAGAAGGUGCUAAUGAUCAAAAAUAAAAGGUGCUAAUGAACUAAAAUAACAGAAGGUGCAAAGGUUUCAUGUUUCUGAACUAAAACGCAAAAGUUGACGCAGCCGUUUUCAGCCCCGGCAUUAAUGCAAACACUUGUUGGGCGCACAUACAGCGCAUUUGAUUACCUGAGUCAAUACGCCCGCACAUCACACAUGCCUGCAGGCCGGCCGGCCG
Molecule: long non-coding RNA, 620 nt
Filed under: Hordeum vulgare
Lineage: Eukaryota; Viridiplantae; Streptophyta; Magnoliopsida; Poales; Poaceae
Description: long non-coding RNA (HVUL_LNC006853)
Source: RNAcentral